UGGUGGAGUGAUUUGUCUGGUUAAUUCCGUUAACGAACGAGACUUUGACCUGCUAACUAGACACUAGAGUUUCGGCUUUAGCUGUUUUCUUUAGAGGGACUUUGCGUGUUUAACGCAAGGAAGUUCAAAGCAAUAACA
RNAcentral lists this ribosomal RNA (138 nucleotides) under uncultured eukaryote. RNAcentral's name for it is "partial 18S ribosomal RNA". It matches the Rfam family "Eukaryotic small subunit ribosomal RNA", at positions 1299 to 1458 of the family's 1831-position model. The record is from RNAcentral.